This 3186-nucleotide long non-coding RNA is filed under the name Haliotis rubra (blacklip abalone). Its description in RNAcentral is "uncharacterized LOC124254484". Lineage: Eukaryota; Metazoa; Mollusca; Gastropoda; Lepetellida; Haliotidae. The record is from RNAcentral.
UAAGAAUUUUACGAUCAGUUCUUAAGAUUUGUUAUCAGAAUCUGAUAUGAGGAAGUAAAUAGUGUAUAUGAUUAGAAUCAUAUAUUUUUAGUUGGCAGAUAAGAGUUUACAUGUUCACUUAAGGCAAUGCUGAUGAAGCAUUUCAGUUUUGACCAAUGAGCAUUGAGCCUGAAGCAGCCAAUGAAAGUUGACCUUUUAUCCAUUUUAUAUGCAUGCUCCUAAAUAAUUUUGUAUAAGAUGCAAAGCCAUGAGAACUGAUUAUUAAAUAAUUGUUACCAUGUUUUGUUUGGAUAUCUAGCUACUAUGUGAAGUUGCAUGUAAAACAACUAAAACAAUAUGUAUUUCAAUUUGUUUUCUAUCACAUACUAAGAGUACUGUAAUCGUAGUUAUUUUCGCGUGGGAUUGAUUUUCGCGCUUUUAGCACAAAAUGAUUGUGCGUCAUUAUUCAUACCAAGCGAAAUAUUCAUGGUCAAGUCAUGACAAAAUUCAGACAAAUACACAAGUAGGAACAACAUGCAAUUUGUUUAAUGCAGCCAAUCAGUGAUUUGACCAUGUGAACCACACGUGUUCAUAAACAACAAACACUACUUUAUGAUUUCUAUGUUUAAUUAUUGUAAGUACUGGUAUACACUCUUCCUUAAUUUGUUAUCAGUUAAUCUCACAUAUGGGACCGGUGUUGUCAUGUUGACACAAGUAUAAUCCCCUCUCUCUCUGAUUGUUUUAGUAAACACGAUUCAAUUAUGGCGGCUAGCUUUGAUCAUUGCGGAUAUUGGUUGUGAAAACUUUGUGAUGGAUACCAUCACUCAGGUGUUUGAAAUGCGCGAAAAAACUACUGCGCUAACAGGUCUUUGGUGAACUUUCCUCGAAAAUUGCACCCCGUGAAAAUAUAUACGAUUACAGUAUAUCAUGAAUGUCUUUAUUGAUUGUAUUAUAUGUGGGAAUUUUUCUCCACUUUUUUGUUAAGGCUAUGGUUUGACAUUAGUGUCCUGCUGCAUGUGAAAGCUGAAGACUAAGUCAUCCAAGGCCGGGUUAUAUUUAUGUAUAUGAGAAAUACGCACCUUGGUGUAUUUUUUAAGCAAGUUUUCACAUUGUUUUCACAAUGUAAUAUGAAUUUAAAACUAUUCUGAUGUCUUUGAAAUUCAAAUUUGUAAAUGACAGAUAUUUUUAGAAUUUUUUCAGACAGUUCAUGUCCUUGAAGUGUGUUAGAUGUUUAAAUGCUUGGAAAUGUAGAGAAUAUUGGGCAUUGGUUUGUAUCCCAUGUUUGUACGAUACAAAUCUCUGGAACUGAGGAAUACCAUGGAUAAGUGGGGGUUCCUGUGUUUCUUGGUGGGUCUUGAAAGACUUGCUGGCAUGAAACACUGUUGUCAUCUUGUGGAACCCAUUUGCAAAACAUAACCAUAAUACCUUGGCAGGUAUGGAAAUACAAUGUACAUCUUUGUCUGAUUGCCAAGCAGACACCCUCUUUAGGUACAAAUAUCUAAAUAUGAGACACACACUUACUGGUCAAAUAAAACAACUAGAGCCACCCCUGAUGUUUUUUGUGUAUAAGGCUGAAGGGGUGCUAGACAAGGCAUCAGGCCAUUUCACUCCCACGUCCAGCAUAUUCCAUGCUGGUUGAUGUUAAUCACAGGAAACCCCCAAACAAUUGAUGUGCUCUAGUGCUGUAGACUGAAGAAGGAAAGUUAUAUGGUACAACAAGCAUGGUAACAUUUGUCAGCUGUUAAUGUCACAUUUUUAAUGAAAGGUGUAUGUUGGACACAUAUUGAUGGUACUGACAUCAAUCACUGGAGUAAUACCACUCAGAAUAUAACAACACAUGCCCAUGACUGGAUAAAUAUCAUCAAGGACCGUCCUUAACUUAUUUUGAGUAGUAUACAAUCAACCUCCGAGAUGUAUGUUGUGCCUGUUUCAGGUUUGUUCAAAUACAUUUCUUGUUUCUCCUGACUUUUAAAUUGGCCUUGCUUCUGAUAUUUUUUAUUUAAGAAAAGAUAAGAAAUGAUUUUUUUAAUUUAAACUUUGUUUUACCCCAGAUUCCAAAUCAACAUGAAUAAAAUGGACCAGGUUGUGAGGGAAGCUUGGACUUUAUGCCAGUGUAGCUUCCUGCUGGGAUUACAGGGUAGAAGGGUCCAGUAUAUGCUGCUCGAGGCAACCAAACGAAUUGGGUGGUCAGGAGCAGUAACUUGGAUUACAUGGUGUCAUACCCCAACAGCAUGGAUCAUUGCUAUUGAUACCUAUCACUGGAUUGUCAGGUCCAGAUUCAAUAAUUCACAAGCAUUCACAUGGCAUUAAUAAACAAAGCAAAUUAUUUUUGUUGCAAGAGGGGAUGUGUUCAAGAGAGGUUUCAUAGAUGUGUAGCCUUAUAAGAAUACAAACAUGAAACAUAAACUCAUCCAUCCCAACUUGGUCCGUUUUGAAAAAGUCACGAGAAACAAGAAACAAAGCAAAAUAUUUUUGUAGCAGCAGGGGACGUGGUCAAGAGAGGUUUCAUAGAUGUGUAGCCUUAUAAGAAUUCAAACAUGAAACAUAAACUCAUCCAUCCCAACUUGGUCCGUUUUGCAAAAGUCACGAGAAACAAGAAUAAUGUUUUUAGGGGAGUCAAUCCAUGCCAGACUCUACAUCAAAGGUUAGUUAAACGCAAGUAGGCUGUGUGUUUCAUUGGUUGGUUUAUUGUUCUGGAGACUAGGACUACCCAGGCUUCUAGUUGUUUUCAUAAUACUUGCAUGAUUAUGUCACCGUUGCAAGGAGGCAUGACAGUCUGCAGCACUUCAGUCCAUACUUCUAUGUGUGAAUAUUUUUGCCGUCCGAGGUGCUGCUCGCCCCAGUGUAGGAAUACAUGUGCUGUAUUACCAUGGCUAUCUACUCAAAUGCAGGUAUAUUGAAAUUGGCAGUGAAAUAAUUUGGACACCUGAAAUUGGCAUGUCAUAUUUUUAUAAAUAUUUGUUAUGAAUGUCCUUUCUGAGCGUGCAUUUGACCUGUAAGUGCCAGACCAUUUGGUAACUGGUGGUGCCAGGAAAUGGUUGGCACUUGCAUGUUGAAUGUGAUGUAAGUUAUUUAAAAUUUGGAGAAAAAUAAUUGUGUUCCUUUGAGGUUUAAAGGACAUAACCUUGUGGAAUUCUUGCUCAAAUGUGUAACUGUCAUGGUAGCUGAGCUGUAACACAAUUUACACCAAAUAAAAUGUAAAAUAUC